This 253-nucleotide ribosomal RNA is filed under the name uncultured bacterium. RNAcentral's name for it is "partial 16S ribosomal RNA". It matches the Rfam family "Bacterial small subunit ribosomal RNA", at positions 524 to 776 of the family's 1533-position model. The record is from RNAcentral.
UACGUAGGGUGCAAGCGUUGUCCGGAAUUAUUGGGCGUAAAGCGCGUGUAGGCGGUCCGGUAAGUCCGCUGUGAAAGUCGGGGGCUCAACCCUCGAAUGCCGGUGGAUACUGUCGGGCUAGAGUGCGGAAGAGGCGAGUGGAAUUCCUGGUGUAGCGGUGAAAUGCGCAGAUAUCAGGAGGAACACCGGUGGCGAAGGCGGGUCUCUGGGCCGUAACUGACGCUGAGGAGCGAAAGCGUGGGGAGCGAACAGG